Unclassified non-coding RNA from Dipodomys ordii (Ord's kangaroo rat), 279 nucleotides. Its record names the gene 7SK. It matches the Rfam family "7SK RNA". From Rfam's summary of the family: 7SK was discovered as an abundant small nuclear RNA in the mid-70s but a possible function has only recently been suggested. The record is from Ensembl. Lineage: Eukaryota; Metazoa; Chordata; Mammalia; Rodentia; Heteromyidae.
GGAUGUGAAGGCUAUCUGGCUGUGGCAUCUGUCACCCCAUUGAUCCUCAGGGUUGAUUUGGCUGAUCUGGCUGGCUAGGCAGGUGUCCCCUUCCUCCCUCACUGCUCCACCCCUAGCAAAACUGAUAGAAGAGGACUAGCAUUCCUGAUAGAGGAGGACCGGUCUUUAGCUCCCCUGCUAGAACUUCCAAACAAGCUUGCAAGGUCCAGAAUCCUAUGGCUAGAAGACUUUAGCUUGUACAGACAUAUAAAUAAUAUAGAUGUAGAUAGAAAUAGAUUU